UAAACGACUCUCGACAACGGAUAUCUCGGCUCACGCAUCGAUGAAGAACGUAGCAAAAUGCGAUACUUGGUGUGAAUUGCAGAAUCCCGUGAACCAUCGAGUUUUUGAACGCAAGUUGCGCCCGAAGCCAUCCGGCCGAGGGCACGUCUGCCUGGGCGUCACGC
RNAcentral lists this ribosomal RNA (164 nucleotides) under Corymbium enerve. RNAcentral describes it as "5.8S ribosomal RNA". It matches the Rfam family "5.8S ribosomal RNA". Rfam says of the family: 5.8S ribosomal RNA (5.8S rRNA) is a component of the large subunit of the eukaryotic ribosome. It is transcribed by RNA polymerase I as part of the 45S precursor that also contains 18S and 28S rRNA. The record is from RNAcentral. Lineage: Eukaryota; Viridiplantae; Streptophyta; Magnoliopsida; Asterales; Asteraceae.